RNAcentral lists this small RNA (29 nucleotides) under Bombyx mori (domestic silkworm). RNAcentral's name for it is "ovarian small RNA-7824". Lineage: Eukaryota; Metazoa; Arthropoda; Insecta; Lepidoptera; Bombycidae. The record is from RNAcentral.
UCUUGGUCUGGACAAAGCGAUUGACGCAC